GAUUCUGUGGUAUACUGAGUUCAAGUAAUUAACAGAAGCGAGAAUUGUUGUGUCAUGCAUGAUGAAUUUUCCUUUCGAGAUUACCGUUGUUUGUCACUAUAUUUAGGUUUAUAAAGGAGAUUCAUCACUAUGCAACAAGGCACAGUUAAAUGGUUUAACGCAGACAAAGGCUACGGCUUUAUCACUGGUCAAGAUGGCCAAGACGUAUUUGUACACUUCUCCGCUAUCCAAGGCGACGGUUACAAGACUCUUGACGAAGGCCAAGCUGUUUCCUACGACAUCGAACAAUCCGAUCGUGGGCCUCAAGCUGCUAACGUUAACAAGCUGUAAUUUAUAGCUUUUAACUUGAAAAACCGCUUUGACAUUCGUCAAGGCGGUUUUU
RNAcentral lists this small RNA (382 nucleotides) under Lacticaseibacillus manihotivorans DSM 13343 = JCM 12514. RNAcentral describes it as "Lactobacillus manihotivorans DSM 13343 = JCM 12514 cspA thermoregulator". It matches the Rfam family "cspA thermoregulator". The record is from Rfam by way of RNAcentral. Lineage: Bacteria; Bacillati; Bacillota; Bacilli; Lactobacillales; Lactobacillaceae.